Molecule: unclassified non-coding RNA, 238 nt
Filed under: uncultured fungus
Lineage: Eukaryota; Fungi
Description: partial contains 5.8S ribosomal RNA, internal transcribed spacer 2, and large subunit ribosomal RNA
Rfam family: 5.8S ribosomal RNA (bases 1-52)
Source: RNAcentral
AACGCACAUUGCGCCCUCUGGUAUUCCGGAGGGCAUGCCUGUUCGAGCGUCAUUACAACCCUCAAGCUCUGCUUGGUCUUGGACUUCGGGCGUUCGCCCGGGUCUUAAGAGAAGUGGCGGUGCCUUCAGGCUCUAAGCGUAGUAAAUUUUCUCGCUAUAGGUGUCUGGUGGUGCUAGCCAGAACCCCCAAUUUUUACAGGUUGACCUCGGAUCAGGUAGGGAUACCCGCUGAACUUAA